This 506-nucleotide ribosomal RNA is filed under the name uncultured bacterium. Its description in RNAcentral is "partial 16S ribosomal RNA". It matches the Rfam family "Bacterial small subunit ribosomal RNA", at positions 30 to 523 of the family's 1533-position model. The record is from RNAcentral.
AUUGAACGCUGGCGGCAGGCCUAACACAUGCAAGUCGAACGGUAACAGGAAACAGCUUGCUGUUUCGCUGACGAGUGGCGAACGGGUGAGUAAUGUCUGGGAAACUGCCUGAUGGAGGGGGAUAACUACUGGAAACGGUAGCUAAUACCGCAUAACGUCGCAAGACCAAAGAGGGGGACCUUCGGGCCUCUUGCCAUCGGCCGUGCCCAGAUGGGAUUAGCUAGUAGGUGGGGUAACGGCUCACCUAGGCGACGAUCCCUAGCUGGUCUGAGAGGAUGACCAGCCACACUGGAACUGAGACACGGUCCAGACUCCUACGGGAGGCAGCAGUGGGGAAUAUUGCACAAUGGGCGCAAGCCUGAUGCAGCCAUGUCGCGUGUAUGAAGAAGGCCUUCGGGUUGUAAAGUACUUUCAGCGGGGAGGAAGGGAGUAAAGUUAAUACCUUUGCUCAUUGACGUUACCCGCAGAAGAAGCACCGGCUAACUCCGUGCCAGCCGCCGCCGUAA